GGAAGGGGUGUAUUUAUUAGAUUAAAAACCAAUGCCCUUCGGGGCUCUCUGGUGAUUCAUAAUAACUUCUCGAAUCGCAUGGCCUUGUGCCGGCGAUGGUUCAUUCAAACUUCUGCCCUAUCAACUUUCGAUGGCAGGGUCUUGGCCUGCCAUGGUUACAACGGGUAACGGAGGGUUAGGGCUCGACCCCGGAGAAGGAGCCUGAGAAACGGCUACUACAUCCAAGGAAGGCAGCAGGCGCGCAAAUUACCCAAUCCCGAUUCGGGGAGGUAGUGACAAUAAAUACUGAUACAGGGCUCUUUUGGGUCUUGUAAUUGGAAUGAGUACAAUUUAAAUCCCUUAACGAGGAACAAUUGGAGGGCAAGUCUGGUGCCAGCAGCCGCGGUAAUUCCAGCUCCAAUAGCGUAUAUUAAAGUUGUUGUGGUUAAAAAGCUCGUAGUUGAACCUUGGGCCUGGCUGGCCGGUCCGCCUCACCGCGUGUACUGGUCCGGCCGGGUCUUUCCCUCUGUGGAACCCCAUGCCCUUCACUGGGUGUGGCGGGGAACCAGGACUUUUAC
RNAcentral lists this ribosomal RNA (557 nucleotides) under uncultured Sordariomycetidae. RNAcentral describes it as "SSU rRNA". It matches the Rfam family "Eukaryotic small subunit ribosomal RNA", at positions 194 to 755 of the family's 1831-position model. Lineage: Eukaryota; Fungi; Ascomycota; Sordariomycetes. The record is from RNAcentral.